AACGAACGCUGGCGGCAUGCCUAACACAUGCAAGUCGAACGAGACCUUCGGGUCUAGUGGCGCACGGGUGCGUAACGCGUGGGAACCUGCCCUUAGGUUCGGAAUAACUCCCCGAAAGGGGUGCUAAUACCGGAUAAUGUCUUCGGACCAAAGAUUUAUCGCCUUUGGAUGGGCCCGCGUUGGAUUAGCUAGUUGGUAGGGUAAAAGCCUACCAAGGCGACGAUCCAUAGCUGGUCUGAGAGGAUGAUCAGCCACACUGGGACUGAGACACGGCCCAGACUCCUACGGGAGGCAGCAGUGGGGAAUAUUGGACAAUGGGGGGAAGGCUGAUCCAGCAAUGCCGCGUGAGUGAUGAAGGCCUUAGGGUUGUAAAGCUCUUUUACCCGGGAUGAUAAUGACAGUACCGGGAGAAUAAGCUCCGGCUAACUCCGUG
This 433-nucleotide ribosomal RNA is filed under the name uncultured bacterium. RNAcentral describes it as "partial 16S ribosomal RNA". It matches the Rfam family "Bacterial small subunit ribosomal RNA", at positions 29 to 507 of the family's 1533-position model. The record is from RNAcentral.